AUGAUGGAUGACAGCAGAUGAAUUCUGCACUAGUUGGCGCACCUGAAAACGAAGACAGGUGAACUCAUUCGAAAGAGCCUCUCAGACCCAUAGACAGACCCAACCCUUUGAAACAGGAAAGGGCAGCCAACACAGGAAGCCCAGGAGCCAUUCAGAGUUUAUUUAGAUAAUUCUGAAAAUGAAUGUCAACUGAAUGUGGUGCUUUGCAAGUUCAACAUACAGUUGGUAAUGUAUGUUUAUCUUUGGAUGUGUUGCCCUCCAAGGUUGCUUUGUUGAUAGU
Long non-coding RNA from Alosa sapidissima (American shad), 280 nucleotides. RefSeq lists it as uncharacterized. The transcript has 3 exons. The record is from RefSeq and is a predicted model, not a curated record. Lineage: Eukaryota; Metazoa; Chordata; Actinopteri; Clupeiformes; Clupeidae.